AUUGAACGCUGGCGGCAUGCUUUACACAUGCAAGUCGAACGGCAGCGCGGGCUUCGGCCUGGCGGCGAGUGGCGAACGGGUGAGUAAUGCAUCGGAACGUGCCCAGUAGUGGGGGAUAGCCCGGCGAAAGCCGGAUUAAUACCGCAUACGACCUGAGGGUGAAAGCGGGGGACCGAAAGGCCUCGCGCUAUUGGAGCGGCCGAUGUCGGUUUAGCUAGUUGGUGGGGUAAAGGCUUACCAAGGCGAAGGUCCGUAGCUGGUCUGAGAGGACGACCAGCCAGACUGUGACUGAGACACGGCCCAGACUCCUACGGGAGGCAGCAGUGGGGAAUUUUGGACAAUGGGGGCAACCCUGAUCCAGCCAUGCCGCGGGCGGGAAGAAGGCCUUCGGGUUGUAAACCGCUUUUGUUCGGGAAGAAAUCCUCUGGGCUAAUACCCCGGGGGGAUGACGGUACCGGAAGAAUAAGCACCGGCUAACUACGUG
Molecule: ribosomal RNA, 484 nt
Filed under: uncultured bacterium
Lineage: Bacteria
Description: partial 16S ribosomal RNA
Rfam family: Bacterial small subunit ribosomal RNA
Source: RNAcentral